AGGACUUCGUACAAUUUUGUCCGUUGUCUCCUUGUCUUCAGCAAACGAAUCCAAAUCCAUGCAACCAACUAAGGCAGUGCUGGGUAAAGUCUCUUUCUCUAGUGUGGGUGUGGCUGGCAAUGGUAUGUCUUCUUCAAUAGAAGCAACAAUGGGUGUGGCUGGCAAUGGUAUGUCUUCUUCAAUAGAAGCAACAAUUUCUUCGGUUCCGAUAUUAAUAUUACCAUCUUUCUUACUGUGGCUUUUGUUUUUCAUAAUUGCCGAUCCAAUUUUUUUGCCAGCUUUCCUAUCCGAUGCAACGCCUGUGCCGGCGGCGGCCACGUCCACCUUCACUGGUAGUGUUUUUUCACUAGAUGGCCUCCAGAAGGUGUGAAUUUUUCUGCUCAAAUGCGAGUUCCAGUAGUUCUUUAUCUCGUUAUCUGUUCUACCU
Molecule: long non-coding RNA, 427 nt
Filed under: Citrus sinensis (sweet orange)
Lineage: Eukaryota; Viridiplantae; Streptophyta; Magnoliopsida; Sapindales; Rutaceae
Description: long non-coding RNA (CSIN_LNC002413)
Source: RNAcentral